UCUCUGACAAAUCCUGAUUUCCGUGCCCAAAGUUUGACCGCCCGUAUUAUUUGAAAAAAUUAUGAAAAAAAUUAAAAAGGCAAGUCACGCAUAAAAUAUUAAUCAUGUUUUAUCAUCUAACAACAAUGAAAAUACAAAUUAUAAAAAAAAAUCAUAUAAGACGGACAGUCAAAGUUGGACACGGAAACCCAGGGUUUGUCUCUUU
Non-coding RNA from Oryza nivara, 205 nucleotides. The record is from Rfam. Lineage: Eukaryota; Viridiplantae; Streptophyta; Magnoliopsida; Poales; Poaceae.